CAAUAGCGUAUAUUAAAGUUGUUGCGGUUAAAAAGCUCGUAGUUGGAUCUCGGCAGGCAGGGGGUGGUUCGCUCUUAGCGCUACUGCCCCAUUUGCCUGUGUGAUUGGCGGAGGUUUCGGGGUGCUCUUCGUUGAGUGACCCGGGGCGCCGUCAGGUUUACUUUGAAAAAAUUAGAGUGCUCAAAGCAGGCUUUUCACGCUUGAAUAUUCGUGCAUGGAAUAAUGGAAUAGGAACUCGUUUCUAUUUUGUUGGUUUUCGGAAAUCGAGUUAAUGAUUAAUAGGGACAAUUGGGGGCAUUAGUAUUCAGACGACAGAGGUGAAAUUCUUGGACCGUCUGAAGACUAACUACUGCGAAAGCAUUUGCCAAGAGUGUUUUCACUAA
This 383-nucleotide ribosomal RNA is filed under the name uncultured eukaryote. RNAcentral's name for it is "partial 18S ribosomal RNA". It matches the Rfam family "Eukaryotic small subunit ribosomal RNA", at positions 592 to 976 of the family's 1831-position model. The record is from RNAcentral.